Molecule: non-coding RNA, 90 nt
Organism: Fusarium oligoseptatum
Lineage: Eukaryota; Fungi; Ascomycota; Sordariomycetes; Hypocreales; Nectriaceae
Source: the annotation of a GenBank genome assembly
UCCGGUAUGGUGUAGUGGCUAACAUUCCGCGCCCUUAUAACCUAAGGGAAUGGUACCGCGGCGACCGAGGUUCGAUUCCUUGUACCGGGG